CCUACGGGCGGCUGCAGUGGGGAAUAUUGCACAAUGGGCGGAAGCCUGAUGCAGCAACGCCGCGUGAGGGAUGACGGCCUUCGGGUUGUAAACCUCUUUUAGCAAGGAAGAAGCGAAAGUGACGGUACUUGCAGAAAAAGCGCCGGCUAACUACGUGCCAGCAGCCGCGGUAAUACGUAGGGCGCAAGCGUUAUCCGGAAUUAUUGGGCGUAAAGAGCUCGUAGGCGGUUUGUCGCGUCUGCUGUGAAAUCCCGAGGCUCAACCUCGGGCCUGCA
This 275-nucleotide ribosomal RNA is filed under the name uncultured Microbacterium sp. Its description in RNAcentral is "partial 16S ribosomal RNA". It matches the Rfam family "Bacterial small subunit ribosomal RNA", at positions 338 to 625 of the family's 1533-position model. Lineage: Bacteria; Bacillati; Actinomycetota; Actinomycetes; Micrococcales; Microbacteriaceae. The record is from RNAcentral.